UACAGAGGGUGCUAGCGUUGUUCGGAAUCAUUGGGCGUAAAGGGCGUGUAGGCGGUUUGUUAAGUCAUGUGUGAAAUCCCUCGGCUCAACCGGGGAACGACGCAUGAAACUGGCAAGCUAGAGUACCAAAGAGGGGGGUGGAAUUCCCGGUGUAGCGGUGAAAUGCGCAGAUAUCGGGAGGAACACCGGUGGCGAAGGCGGUUCUCUGGGCCUGUACUGACGCUGAGGAGCGAAAGCGUGGGGAGCGAACAGG
This 253-nucleotide ribosomal RNA is filed under the name uncultured bacterium. Its description in RNAcentral is "partial 16S ribosomal RNA". It matches the Rfam family "Bacterial small subunit ribosomal RNA", at positions 524 to 776 of the family's 1533-position model. The record is from RNAcentral.